This 474-nucleotide long non-coding RNA is filed under the name Homo sapiens (human). Its description in RNAcentral is "HSALNT0320169". Lineage: Eukaryota; Metazoa; Chordata; Mammalia; Primates; Hominidae. The record is from RNAcentral.
UAUUUUGGCCAGGAGCUGAAGUUGGUUGUUUAGUAGUAGUAGUUUGAGUAGUGACCGAAGUAGUAGUCUGGUGUGUGGGUGCAAGAGUAGUUGGGGAAGAAUUAGGUGUGGUAAUUGGGGCAGCUGUGGUCUCUUGUGGAGCUGGGGAAGACGGUGGAGCUGGUGUAGUUGCAGAAGGUGUGGGUGGGACAGCUGUGGUCUCUGGUGGAGCUGAGGAAGAUAGUGGAGCUGGUGUAGUUGCAGAAGGUGUGGGUGGGGCAGCUGUGGUGUCUUGUGGAGCUGGGGAAUUCACUGGUGCUAAUGUAGCUACAGAAGAGCUUGUGUUAACAUUUUCUCUUGAAGAUAUGGUGGUGGCAUUCUGGGGAAGAAAAGUCACAUUUGGAAGGGUAGUAAUUUUGGUGGCUGGUGAGGAUUUGGGAAUUUGGGGGGGUUAUUAGGUGAAGGUGGAAGCUUAGGCCUACAGCGUUUGUGCAG